ACACGUAGGGGCCUGACGUUGUUCGGAAUCAUUGGGCGUAAAGGGCGCGCAGGCGGCCGUCCAAGUCCGGCGUGAAAGACCCCGGCCCAACCGGGGGGACGCGCUGGAAACUGCAGGGCUUGAGUACAGGAGGGGAUGCCGGAAUUCCAGGUGUAGGGGUGAAAUCUGUAGAUAUCUGGAAGAACACCAAUGGCGAAGGCAGGCAUCUGGCCAUGUACUGACGCUGAGACGCGAAGGUGCGGGGAGCAAACAGGUUUAGAUACCCUGGUAGUCCGCACAGUAAACGAUGUGCACCAGGUGGCGGGGGGUCGACCCCCGGUACCGUAGCUAACGCAUUAAGUGCACCGCCUGGGGAGUAUGCUCGCAAGGGUGAAACUCAAAUGAAUUGACGGGG
RNAcentral lists this ribosomal RNA (394 nucleotides) under uncultured bacterium. RNAcentral describes it as "partial 16S ribosomal RNA". It matches the Rfam family "Bacterial small subunit ribosomal RNA", at positions 523 to 918 of the family's 1533-position model. The record is from RNAcentral.